This 449-nucleotide ribosomal RNA is filed under the name uncultured bacterium. RNAcentral describes it as "bacterial SSU rRNA". It matches the Rfam family "Bacterial small subunit ribosomal RNA", at positions 29 to 524 of the family's 1533-position model. The record is from RNAcentral.
AGCGAACGCUGGCGGCAGGCUUAACACAUGCAAGUCGAACGCCCGGGCAACCGGGAGUGGCAGACGGGUGAGUAACACGUGGGAACAUGCCCUUCGGUUCGGAAUAACUCGGGGAAACUCGUGCUAAUACCGGAUACGUCCGUAAGGAGAAAGAUUUAUCGCCGAAGGAUUGGCCCGCGUCCGAUUAGCUAGUUGGUGGGGUAAAAGCCCACCAAGGCGACGAUCGGUAGCUGGUCUGAGAGGAUGANCAGCCACACUGGGACUGAGACACGGCCCAGACUCCUACGGGAGGCAGCAGUGGGGAAUAUUGGACAAUGGGCGCAAGCCUGAUCCAGCCAUGCCGCGUGAGUGAUGAAGGCCCUAGGGUUGUAAAGCUCUUUCGGCGGGAAGAUAAUGACGGUACCCGCAGAAGAAGCCCCGGCUAACUUCGUGCCAGCAGCCGCCGUAAU